UGCGCAGGCGGGUUAUUAAGUCAGUGGUGAAAUCUCUCGGCUCAACCGAGAAACUGCCAUUGAAACUGAUAAUCUUGAGUAUAGUUGUAGUAGGCGGAAUAUAGCAUGUAGCGGUGAAAUGCUUAGAUAUGCUAUAGAACACCGAUCGCGAAGGCAGCUUACUAAACUAUUACUGACGCUCAUGCACGAAAGCGUGGGGAGCGAACAGGAUUAGAUACCCUGGUAGUC
RNAcentral lists this ribosomal RNA (228 nucleotides) under uncultured bacterium. RNAcentral's name for it is "partial 16S ribosomal RNA". It matches the Rfam family "Bacterial small subunit ribosomal RNA", at positions 568 to 795 of the family's 1533-position model. The record is from RNAcentral.